GAACGCACAUUGCGCCCUCUGGUAUUCCGGGGGGCAUGCCUGUUCGAGCGUCAUUAUAACCACUCAAGCUCUCGCUUGGUAUUGGGGUUCGCGGUCUCGCGGCCCCUAAAAUCAGUGGCGGUGCCUGUCGACUCUACGCGUAGUAAUACUCCUCGCGAUUGAGUCCGGUAGGUUUACUUGCCAGCAACCCCUAAUUUUUACAGGUUGACCUCGGAUCAGGUAGGGAUACCCGCUGAACUUAAG
This 243-nucleotide unclassified non-coding RNA is filed under the name Rhexocercosporidium carotae. Its description in RNAcentral is "sequence contains 5.8S rRNA gene". The stretch from base 1 to 53 matches the Rfam family "5.8S ribosomal RNA", at positions 102 to 154 of the family's 154-position model. The record is from RNAcentral. Lineage: Eukaryota; Fungi; Ascomycota; Leotiomycetes; Helotiales.